Molecule: long non-coding RNA, 679 nt
Organism: Bombyx mori (domestic silkworm)
Lineage: Eukaryota; Metazoa; Arthropoda; Insecta; Lepidoptera; Bombycidae
Exons: 2
Source: RefSeq, a predicted model, not a curated record
UACAAGGUCAACAAUUCAAAAAAUCCACACGAUCUUAGCAAUUUAUUUAUACAAUUUUGUUGUUCCGUAACGUUACCGAGCUAACAAGCACGCUGAGAUUAGAUUAUAAAAAGUUACGAACUUAAAAUUUAAUAUUAUAAAUAAGUACGUAUUGUUAUCGCUGCACUGGCUUUUUAUUUGUGAUGACAAACGUAUGCAUACAUAUAGUGCUAACGCCCUGUCUUUAAAGGUCGUUUUGACGGAUACGAUGAUUAUGAAGACAGUUGCCGGGUGAAUUUUUUCCCUGUCCUCGGCUCGAUGGCGGCGGAUCAGUACGGAACAAGGUAAACAGCUUGAAAAACGAGGAGGGUGCAAGGAAGAGAGCAAAUGGCGUGAGCGGUGUGCGGGGCGAGGGAGGAAGCACCGACACGCGUUGCACGGUCACCGAACGAACGAAACCGUGGUAGUUGAGGCCGGCGACUCGUGCACCCGAUUCAACCUUCCUCAACGCGACCGCAACUGACCCGCGCUACAGAACUCCCCGCCCCCUCACUUCCUCUCCAACGUCUCCGACUCUGAAGUAGUCUGACUGACUGAAGUAAAUAUGCGCACUCCUCCUUAUACAUGGACAUACUUUUAGUGUAGGUAUAUAGGUAAUAAUAUUUAGUUGAAUUAUUUUAAAUGGCUAUUAGUAAUUUAA